RNAcentral lists this transfer RNA (63 nucleotides) under Acanthodactylus erythrurus. RNAcentral's name for it is "tRNA-Cys". Lineage: Eukaryota; Metazoa; Chordata; Lepidosauria; Squamata; Lacertidae. The record is from RNAcentral.
AGUCCUGCGGUGAACACACGUCAAAUUGCAAAUUUGAAAAAGCACCGAUUCGUGCCGGGGCUU